Molecule: RNase P RNA, 479 nt
Filed under: Pyrinomonadaceae bacterium
Lineage: Bacteria; Pseudomonadati; Acidobacteriota; Blastocatellia; Blastocatellales; Pyrinomonadaceae
Description: RNase P RNA component class A
Rfam family: Bacterial RNase P class A
About the family: Ribonuclease P (RNase P) is a ubiquitous endoribonuclease, found in archaea, bacteria and eukarya as well as chloroplasts and mitochondria.
Source: RNAcentral
AGAGCAGAUUGGGUGAUCGCUGCUUCGCUUCAAAAAAGUGAAGGAGAGGAAAGUCCGGACACCGUAGGGCAGCGAGCCCGCUAACGGCGGGGCGUUUAGUCAAGUGCAGUGACGUUUUUGGCGUACACAUAGCAUUACUAAACGACGACAAGUGCAACAGAAAGUAGACCAGCCAGCAAGCGGCAGAAUGGCAGGGCCAACCGUAGCAGGUGAUGGGUGAAAUGGUGCGGCUCCUCAAGGGCUUAAUGUAAAAGCGCACCAGCGCGUGUGGUGACAUACGCGGCUAGGCAAACUCCUCGCGGUGCAAGACCAAAUAGGGAGACGGCAUUAGGGUGGCUCGUCCGAAGCGCUUCAUACGAAACGCGCUCGCGUCUCCGGGUAGGUCGCUCGAUCCAUUUGGCAACAAAUGGGCUAGAUGAAUGAUCGCCAUUCCGAGCUUGCUCGGAACACAAAAUUCGGCUUAUAGAUCUGCUCUAUGC